AGAGGGUGCAAGCGUUAAUCGGAAUUACUGGGCGUAAAGGGCGCGUAGGCGGACUCGUAAGUUAGAUGUGAAAGGCCAGGGCUUAACCUUGGAUUUGCAUUUGAAACUGCGGGACUAGAGUAGAGUAGAGGGGAGCGGAAUUUCCGGUGUAGCGGUGAAAUGCGUAGAUAUCGGAAAGAACACCAGUGGCGAAGGCGGCUCUCUGGGCUCUAACUGACGCUGAGGCGCGAAAGCGUGGGGAGCGAACAGGGAUUAGAUACCCUGGUAGUCCACGCUGUAAACGAUGAGAACUAGCUGUUGGGAGGCAUGACCCCUUUCAGUAGCGCAGCAAACGCACUAAGUUCUCCGCCCUGGGAGUACGGCCGCAAGGCUA
RNAcentral lists this ribosomal RNA (373 nucleotides) under uncultured organism. RNAcentral's name for it is "partial 16S ribosomal RNA". It matches the Rfam family "Bacterial small subunit ribosomal RNA", at positions 527 to 896 of the family's 1533-position model. The record is from RNAcentral.